UGCUGAUUUCCACUGAAGAGCUAAUUUCCUGUGAGACAUUAACAGUGAUUUAAGAAAAAGAUUCCUGUAACUGUAAUGUCUUACAAUAACAGAAUGCAGGAGAGCACAUAUCAAUGAAGAAAAGACAAAAUGUACUUAUCCAUGAAGCUGAGGUUAAGAAACCAGUGUCUUCAAGAGCCAGGGACAGCACUGGGUCUGUGCAGAGUUGAGAGAUGGUGAUGACAUGCUGUAAGCGAAUAAGUGACAGAGCUCCUUGCUGCUCAAAUUUUAUGCCAGAUAAAAUAUUCACCUUCUCGGACUCCCUGGCACCAGGCAUGGCCAUGUAAUCCUACAGCACAGCUGAUGAAAGAGAAGACAUCUUGCUGCUAUUUGACAAGCAAGAAGAUAAAAGCUUUCCUAUAAAGAUGAUGGAGCAAAAAAAUAGAAGGGGCCUAGACUCCCUACCUUCACACUUCCUGCUAUAAAAGCAUUGCUAUUAUAAGGUUAAUCUGCAGAAACAGACUUCUAUGUCAUAUGCUUAAAUGCAUCAAAAUUCAUACAAUAUCCAUUAAAUUGGUAAAAGUAUCCAUUUUAAAGGAUUAAUCUGAGGGACCCACAGACACUUAACACAAUCAAAUCUCAGAAAAAAAAUCAGUUAUUUCAUUGUGAUUUUGAGGCUGAUCUUUUAUGAUCUUUUAGUUAUCAAACUGUUAAAUACAUUUUAACUUUCAAAUUUUAUGAAUAAAGG
Molecule: long non-coding RNA, 727 nt
Filed under: Homo sapiens (human)
Lineage: Eukaryota; Metazoa; Chordata; Mammalia; Primates; Hominidae
Description: MAGI2 antisense RNA 3
Source: RNAcentral